GGGUUGUGAGGUUAAGCGACUAAGCGUACACGGUGGAUGCCCUGGCAGUCAGAGGCGAUGAAGGACGUGCUAAUCGGCUAAAAGCGUCGGUAAGGUGAUAUGAACCGUUAUAGCCGGCGAUGUCCGAAUGGGGAAACCCAGUGCAAUUCGUUGCACUAUCGUUAACUGAAUACAUAGGUUAACGAGGCGAACCGGGGGAACUGAAACAUCUAAGUACCCCGAGGAAAAGAAAUCAACCGAGAUUCCCCCAGUAGCGGCGAGCGAACGGGGAGCAGCCCAGAGUCUGAAUCAGCUUGUGUGUUAGUGGAACGGUCUGGAAAGUCCGACGGUACAGGGUGAUAGUCCCGUACACCAAAAUGCACAGGCUGUGAACUCGAAGAGUAGGGCGGGACACGUGGUAUCCUGUCUGAAUAUGGGGGGACCAUCCUCCAAGGCUAAAUAC
RNAcentral lists this ribosomal RNA (442 nucleotides) under Escherichia coli. RNAcentral describes it as "partial 23S ribosomal RNA". It matches the Rfam family "Bacterial large subunit ribosomal RNA", at positions 1 to 473 of the family's 2925-position model. Lineage: Bacteria; Pseudomonadati; Pseudomonadota; Gammaproteobacteria; Enterobacterales; Enterobacteriaceae. The record is from RNAcentral.